Callithrix jacchus (white-tufted-ear marmoset) is the source of this 3482-nucleotide long non-coding RNA. RefSeq lists it as uncharacterized. The record is from RefSeq and is a predicted model, not a curated record. NCBI's taxonomy places the organism in Eukaryota, Metazoa, Chordata, Mammalia, Primates, Cebidae.
CUGCCGUCAGCCAGCCAGCCGCCGUCGCACUGGUCUAGCCCCGAGAACUUCCAGGCUGCGUAGAGGUGCCCAACCUUGGCCACCACGGCGCCGCGUCGCCGGCACGCCGCGUGGGCUUCAGACAGCGUCAGCCGCCCGGACCCCGCCCCAAGACCCUGUCUUCACCCCUCCCCUCACCCGCCAGCGCCGAGGUGAAGCAGAAGGCGUCGUAGCGGUCGCGCAUCAGGUCGCGGGGCCCGUAGCUGCGGAUCCCGGGCCUGCCUCGGCCGCCACACGGGGCGCGCGCGGUGAGCACAGGGUAGCGCACGGAGCCCUCGAGCAGCCAGCCCGCGUUACACCAGUCCAGACCCUCGGUCCACGCUGGCGGAAGACGGCGGGGGUCGGGGAUGAGAGGUGUUCCAGGCCGGAGCCAGACUGAGCUCGCCUGGCGCCCUCUGUCGGGCCCCUGCGACAGCUCGGCGGGGCCUGGGCUGUGCUGGGUUCGGCCGCUCACCCUGGUAGAGCUGGGAGUAGGUGGCCAGGCGUCCGUCCUGCUCCUCGCACGCCUGCUUCGCCUCGUAGUAAUUGAACUGGUACCGGCCCCGGCUGGGUUGGUACGGAAAUACCACACCUAGGGGGUGGCGGGGUGGCUGGGGAGGGCCAGCAGACGAUGGUGGAGGGGGAGGAAGGGCGGUGCUGCCUGGGAGAGGGAGCUGCGGUCCCCGGGGGUGCGAGGGAGAUACUGGGAAGGAGCCCGGGGAGACCCCAGGCGAGACGGCCCCGCCUGCUAGAGAGGAAUAGGGCGGGAGCGGAAGGGCCUCACCCUCCAGGCUCAGGGUCAGCGCCACGCUCUCGUCCUCAAUGCCGUUGAUGAGCUCGCAGCGGUACCGGCCCUCGUCCUCCAGGCGCACGCCCGCGAUGACCAGGGAGGCGUCUAGCCGAUGCCCCCUCCGCAUCCUGGCGCGCCCUCCCAGGGGCCCGUACCCCCGAGCUUGCAGUCCGUUGGUGACGAGGAUCAGCGUUUCCCGGAGCUCCCCGGGCUCCACCUUGCUCCAGCGCACCUUGUAGCUGGGAGGCGAGGUGCCCAGGACGCAGGGCAGCGUGGCCGUGGCCCCACGAUGAGAGUGAAUGACCUCGUGGAUGGGGGGCAGGAGGUAGUGGGGGCCCGGGUGGGAUGCUGAGCAGAGGGGGCCAGAGUGGCAGGAACCCCUUGAUCCUCACUGCCCCAAGUGCCCAUCAGACCCUGCUCCCCAAAUGCUUUCUCCAGAGCCCCCCAACCCUCUCCUCCAUUGCCUUCUCAGCAAUGACUUUCACUCCCUGGGUACCUGCAACAGCUGCCCUUUCCCCUUUCCCCACCCUUGCAGUCUCUGCAAGCCUUCCUCAGAGUCUGGGCUGGGCUGGGGUCUUACCUGGGUCUCCCUGGGCUUUAUGGAAGAUGGUGAAGGCCCAAAGGAGCAGGAAACAGCAGAGCGCGGGGAGGGUGAGCCAGCCUGGCAUGAUGGAGAGUUAGCCAGGAACUGUCUGCAGGGCAGGAAGGAUGGUAAGUUCUCAGGACUGAGGCAAAAGGGUGGGGAAGAGCAGGGUUGGGGGUGAACUCCCAUCAGAGAUUCCUAGAAGGGACUGUCCAGCUGGAAGCCACUGGGGCAGAGAAAAGGGGUUAGUGACAAAAGGAAGGUGAUGAGGGGAGGAAGGCAGUAGCAACCCCCUUCCUCUCCCUCUCUUCCUCUCACAUCCUCUCAGCCUGCAGGUACUAAUUUAGCACCUCCUCUACCUGUCCCCCUCAUCACAAGUGCUACUUCCCAAGCUUGCCAUCUGGACUGCCAACUCAUCUCUAUCCUCUCCCAGCACCCAUUCUCCAUCUUGAGAAUGCCAAAGUCAAAAUGAUCUUGUCACUCUCUUGCCUUUUUUUUUUUUGAGAUCAAGUCUCGCUCCAAGGUCCAGGCUGGAGUGCAGUGGCAUGAUCACGGCUCACUGCAGCCCCUAGCUUCUAGGCCCAGGUGAUCCUCCCACCUCAGCCUCCUGAGUAGCUGAGAAUACAGACAUGCGCUGCCACACCCAGCUACUUUUUUCUUUUUAAGUUUUUAUAGAGACCAGGUCCUGCUGUGUUGGCAAGGCUGGUGCUAGGAUUACAGCAGGCGACUGUGCCUGGCCUUAUCAUUCUCCUGUUGGAAAGUGACUUCUGAUUGCCCUGAGGAUAAAAUCCAGUGUCAUAACCACAGCUUCCAAGGCUGUCUAUAAUCUAGUUGCUCCAUGCACCGCCAGCCCGGCCCCGCCUCACCUCUUACCACGUUGGCCUCUGCACUGUGCCCCAGACAUGCUGGACUUCUGGCAGUUUCCCACACAGUCCAAGUUUGCACUCACUUCCUUUCUUUUGUGCCCGUCUUGGUUACACAGGCCUCACCUCCUUUGGGAAACCUUUCCUCACCCACAGUUUGCUACACUGUAGUGCACUGUCAUCUGCUGAACUGGGGACUUUUUUUUUGUUGAGACAGGAUUUCACUCCUUCACCCAGACUGGAGUGCGGUGGCAUGAUCACGGCUUACUGCAGCCUCCUCCCAGGCUCAAGCCAUCCUCCCACCUCAGCCUCCCGAGUAGCUGGGACUAUUGGCACACACCACCACGCCCCACUAAUUUUUUUUUCUUUUGUAUUUUUUGUAGCGAUGGAGCUUCGACAUGUUGCCCAGGCUGGUCUUAACUCCUGGGCUCAAGUAAUCCAUCUGCCUUGGCCUCCCGGAAUGCUGGGAUUACAAGCCCGGGCCAGCACUUUUUGUCUUACAAGUACUCUUACUGGCACCUAAAUUUAACAGUGUGAGUUUGAACUAUAUGCAUAUGCAUAUAUAGACUAUAUCAAGUAGGUUUUCCAAAAACUAUGAAGUUAAAAAAUAUAAAAUUAUAAAGUUUUUUUUAAAAAACUAUUUUAAAUGCAAUUAUCUAUUUCAGUACAGUAGUUGAUACCCCUCCUCUUUAUUUAUUUAUUUUUUUAAUUUUUUUUUAGAGACAGGAUCUCUAAAAUGUUGCCCAGGUUGGCCUCCAACUCCUGGGCUCAAGGAAUCCUCCCACCUCAGCCUCCCAAUUAGCUGGAACUACAGGUCUGAGUCACUGCAUCCGGUUCCUCCUUUAUUGUAUCAUUCUUAUCACCCUGACCUUUAAAAAAAAAAAUGAACCCACCAACAAAAAAAGAAAAAAAAAUGAACUGGGUCAGGCACAGUGGCUCAUCCCUGUAAUCCCAACACUUUGGAAGGCCAAGGCGGGUGGAUCACUUGAAGUCAGGAGUUCAAGACCAACGUGGCCAACAUGGUGAAAUCCCAUCUCUACUAAAAACAAAAAAUGUAGCUGGGUGUGAUGGCAUGCACCUGUCAUCACAGCUACUCAGGAGGCUGAGGCAGGAGAAUCGUUUGAACCCAGGAGGUGGAGGCUGCAGUGAGCCGAGUUCGUCCCACUGUAUUCCAGCCUGGGGGGUAGAGCAAGACCCUGUCUCCAAGAAAAUAAAAAAAUUGACUGAA